UUGACCUAGGGACGCAGCAGUGGGGAAUAUUGCACAAUGGGGGGAACCCUGAUGCAGCGACGCCGCGUGAGUGAAGAAGUAUUUCGGUAUGUAAAGCUCUAUCAGCAGGGAAGAAAAUGACGGUACCUGACUAAGAAGCCCCGGCUAACUACGUGCCAGCAGCCGCGGUAAUACGUAGGGGGCAAGCGUUAUCCGGAUUUACUGGGUGUAAAGGGAGCGCAGACGGCUGUGCAAGUCUGGAGUGAAAGGCGGGGGCCCAACCCCCGGACUGCUCUGGAAACUGUAAAGAUGG
This 292-nucleotide ribosomal RNA is filed under the name uncultured bacterium. RNAcentral describes it as "partial 16S ribosomal RNA". It matches the Rfam family "Bacterial small subunit ribosomal RNA", at positions 334 to 644 of the family's 1533-position model. The record is from RNAcentral.